GCUCUGGGAGAGCCCAGCUGGUAGAGCAUGAGUCUCUUAAUCUCAGGGUUGUGGGUUUGAGCCCCACGUCGGGUG
This is a non-coding RNA of Podarcis lilfordi (Lilford's wall lizard), 75 nucleotides long. The record is from the annotation of a GenBank genome assembly. NCBI's taxonomy places the organism in Eukaryota, Metazoa, Chordata, Lepidosauria, Squamata, Lacertidae.